UUUUGAUAAAGAUAGACAAUUAGUAUAUUUAGCGUUGGAGAAUAUUUUACAAAGAUAUGGUAUAAAUGGAAAGCAAUGCAUUUUACAAUCCAUUUGCCAAAAUUCUCAAUACCCUCUUUCUCAUAAUGAAAAUGGAAUCUUUGGAGAAUUAUUACACAUUUUUUUUACACCAUUUUACAACAAUAAUAGUGAGUACGCAGACGCAUACAUGGCAGGAAAAUAUGGAAUUGACUGCAAAAAUGAAUUUUCCGGUUGUAAAUCGCAACAUAAUCUGUUAAACAUGAUAUCGUUCUUAGAUAACGAUGAAAUCGGUUACAGUUAAGU
This is a long non-coding RNA of Agrilus planipennis (emerald ash borer), 324 nucleotides long. RefSeq lists it as uncharacterized. The record is from RefSeq and is a predicted model, not a curated record. The transcript has 3 exons. NCBI's taxonomy places the organism in Eukaryota, Metazoa, Arthropoda, Insecta, Coleoptera, Buprestidae.